GACGAACGCUGGCGGCGUGCCUAAUACAUGCAAGUAGAACGCUGAAGGAGGAGCUUGCUUCUCCGGAUGAGUUGCGAACGGGUGAGUAACGCGUAGGUAACCUGCCUGGUAGCGGGGGAUAACUAUUGGAAACGAUAGCUAAUACCGCAUAACAGUAGAUAUCGCAUGAUAUCUGCUUGAAAGGUGCAAUUGCAUCACUACCAGAUGGACCUGCGUUGUAUUAGCUAGUUGGUGAGGUAACGGCUCACCAAGGCGACGAUACAUAGCCGACCUGAGAGGGUGAUCGGCCACACUGGGACUGAGACACGGCCCAGACUCCUACGGGAGGCAGCAGUAGGGAAUCUUCGGCAAUGGACGGAAGUCUGACCGAGCAACGCCGCGUGAGUGAAGAAGGUUUUCGGAUCGUAAAGCUCUGUUGUAAGAGAAGAACGAGUGUAAGAGUGGAAAGUUCACACUGUGACGGUAUCUUACCAGAAAGGGACGGCUAACUACGUG
Molecule: ribosomal RNA, 495 nt
Filed under: uncultured bacterium
Lineage: Bacteria
Description: partial 16S ribosomal RNA
Rfam family: Bacterial small subunit ribosomal RNA
Source: RNAcentral